GACGAACGCUGGCGGCGUGCUUAACACAUGCAAGUCGAACGGAAAGGCCCUGCUUUCGUGGGGUGCCCGAGUGGCGAACGGGUGAGUAACACGUGAGUAACCUGCCCUUGACUUUGGGAUAACUUCAGGAAACUGGGGCUAAUACCGGAUAGGAGCUCCUGCAGCAUGGGGGGGGUUGGAAAGUUUGGGCGGUAGGGGAUGGACUCGCGGCUUACCAGCUUGUUGGUGGGGUAGUGGCCUACCAAGGCUUUGACGGGUGGCCGGCCUGAGAGGGUGACCGGCCACAUGGGGACUGAGAUACGGACCAGACUCCUACGGGAGGCAGCAGUGGGGAAUAUUGCACAAUGGGCGGAAGCCUGAUGCAGCAACGCCGCGUGCGGGAUGACGGCCUUCGGGUUGUAAACCGCUUUCGCCUGUGACGAAGCGUGAGUGACGGUAAUGGGUAAAGAAGCACCGGCUAACUACGUG
RNAcentral lists this ribosomal RNA (468 nucleotides) under uncultured bacterium. RNAcentral describes it as "partial 16S ribosomal RNA". It matches the Rfam family "Bacterial small subunit ribosomal RNA", at positions 28 to 507 of the family's 1533-position model. The record is from RNAcentral.